Molecule: long non-coding RNA, 448 nt
Organism: Myotis myotis
Lineage: Eukaryota; Metazoa; Chordata; Mammalia; Chiroptera; Vespertilionidae
Exons: 3
Source: RefSeq, a predicted model, not a curated record
GGGUGGCGACCAAUGGCGAGCCGCGCGGGAGAUCGGACCAGGAACCCGCUGCUUUUAUUGGCGGAGGGAGUCAGGCCGCUCCACCCUCUUUGCGCCGACGCGCGGGGAGGGGUUGGUGGGGGGCCCAGACGCUGGCGGGUCGACUGUGCUCAGCGUGGCGGGUGUCGCGGGGGCACGAACGGCGGGAUUGGGGCUUCCAGCCUUGGAGGCUGCGGGGACCGCUCCUUAGCCGCCGGGCGCGGCUGCUUCCUUCCCCAUCUCCUUAGGCCCUGGGGUAGGGUGGUGAGCAAAGGAGAUGGCCCUGCCUUCAUGGAGCAGCCAGUGCUGAGGAGCGGCGACUGUUGCCGGCAAAAGCCUAAAUAUGGUGCCAUUUACACCUCGUCUCUUCUGAAAUUAGAAAGUGGAAGAGAAAGGGAAAGACAGAGAGAAACAUCCAUGUGAGAGAAAC